Molecule: ribosomal RNA, 157 nt
Filed under: Sutcliffiella horikoshii
Lineage: Bacteria; Bacillati; Bacillota; Bacilli; Caryophanales; Bacillaceae
Description: Bacillus horikoshii partial 23S ribosomal RNA
Rfam family: Bacterial large subunit ribosomal RNA
Source: RNAcentral
CGGUUAAGUUAUUAAGGGCGCACGGUGGAUGCCUUGGCACUAGGAGCCGAUGAAGGACGGGACUAACACCGAUAUGCUUCGGGGAGCUGUAAGUAAGCUUUGAUCCGGAGAUUUCCGAAUGGGGAAACCCACUGCUCGUAAUGGAGCAGUAUCCUUA